UGUAGUUUUUUUGCCUAUGAUUGAAGGUGAGCUUCUGUCAGUUUGACGUAGACUUGGGUCGUCAUAAGCUGUUUUCUGUAAGGCUCACAGCAACCACGAAGUGGAGACCCACAGUAGAUGCUCACAGGGGAGAGAGACAGGAAUGAAAAUGCACCACCAAUGCAGAAAAUUAUAAAAUCAUGCAGGCAGAAAGCAAGAGAAGAGCAAAUGAAAAAGGGACUACGAAACAGUCAGUAAACAUCAACACGCUGGCAUUAGUACGUUCUUAUCAAUGAUUAAAGGUAAAUGAUUUAAAUUUCCUCAUUAAAACACAGAGAGCGGCUGAAUGGAUAAACAAAACAAGCUGCCCUCGAGUUACCUUCAAGGAUACACACAGGCUGGGAAAACCUGCCGUGCACACGGUGAACAGCGGGAGACAAAGGUCAUUAUGUAACGAUAAAGGGCCAAUUCAUCAGAAGAUAUAACGGCAGUAACUCUGUAUCCACCCAGCUUUAGACCACCUACAUAUGACUGUGCGGGGCAGGAGUGCUGAGGGGAGGGACCUUGCCUGGUAGCUGACCUUGGAAGAAACACGUUAAACUUUUCCCUGGCAGACCCUCUGCAUGGCCCGUAAGAAGCGAGUUGUGACACUUGUCAUGCUGCCACUCGCACGCAGGGCCCUGAUGCUGACGACAGGUGCGUGCGUGGUGAAGACAGUCGGUCACCUGCACACCUUCCCAGCGCUGCCCUGUCUCAGAGGUCAACCGUCUGCCACAACUCACCAGUAACCCUUGCUGCAGUGCGCUGGAGGCACGGCCCUUCUCGUCCAGAGUCCCUGUGGGGAAAAAUCUACCACGACUGUACCUAGGAAAUCGACGCCUUGGGCCAUAUUUUCAUUCAGCAGAAUGCAGAACUUUCUUAUCUAGUCACCUGUCCGAGGUCGAGAAAACA
This is a non-coding RNA of Microcebus murinus (gray mouse lemur), 930 nucleotides long. The record is from RefSeq and is a predicted model, not a curated record. NCBI's taxonomy places the organism in Eukaryota, Metazoa, Chordata, Mammalia, Primates, Cheirogaleidae.